This 255-nucleotide long non-coding RNA is filed under the name Elaeis guineensis (African oil palm). Its description in RNAcentral is "long non-coding RNA (EGUI_LNC014120)". The record is from RNAcentral. Lineage: Eukaryota; Viridiplantae; Streptophyta; Magnoliopsida; Arecales; Arecaceae.
GAGGAGGGUGCAGGAGUUGAGGCAGGAGCUGGAUCGGGAGGUGCCGAGGAUGUGCCUGUCGAGGACGUAGGAGCUACCCCUAGCUUUCACUCCUGAUUGUGCUAUUGGAGCUCAAUGUCUCGAUUGAGAAACGUGGCACUCCUAUCGAUGCAUAGGAUUUGUUUCCUACUUUUCUUUUUAUUUUUGUACUUAAGCUUAGUAAUGGUCGAGCAGAUUUUAUGGUUGGGCUAUCUUUGUACUCUUCGGCUUUGACUG